Molecule: unclassified non-coding RNA, 28 nt
Filed under: Mus musculus (house mouse)
Lineage: Eukaryota; Metazoa; Chordata; Mammalia; Rodentia; Muridae
Description: oocyte_clustered_small_RNA10364
Source: RNAcentral
UUGACCCCAAAUCGAUUCAGAAACCAAA